This is an RNA transcript of Pezoporus occidentalis (night parrot), 1102 nucleotides long. It is a transcript of the gene named immunoglobulin superfamily member 22, with no coding region annotated. The record is from RefSeq and is a predicted model, not a curated record. The transcript has 2 exons. NCBI's taxonomy places the organism in Eukaryota, Metazoa, Chordata, Aves, Psittaciformes, Psittacidae.
AAUAUCUGUUUCUUACCAGCCAUUUCUGCUCCUUAGCUGGCACAGACGCGUGGAUUUUAACUGUAAUAUUUUCAUGUUCAGAAAAUCUGUGGCCAAGGAUGAGAAUUUUGAUUGUGCAAAAGAAAUUAGGAGUAAAGGGAAUUCCAUUUUUAAGAUGAAAGGAGGAACUGUUAAAAUGGUGGUCCUUACUGAUUUAAAUACUCCUGUUCUUAUUUCUGCAAAACUUGUGAUCAAAUGCUUUGGGGAAGAGUCUGGGGCUGGAAGAGCUUGACCUUUAAUGCAUAUGUAAAUAUGACUUUCAGUUGUGUAUAAUCUCUCCCAUACAACAGAUCUGUGGGUGUCCAUAGGGACAGAAAGAUCCUAUGAGUCUUUAUUAUAUAUCACAAAAAAUCACAAAUUAUUCCUGUCAGUGUGCAGAGUGCUGCUAAUGAACAAAUUUCAUUCCUGAAGUAGUAUCUGUGAUGGAUGUGAGGUUGUAAGAAGUACAGUAAGUAAAGUAAAACAAGGUUAAUCUAAUCUCCAUAAAGCUGACAGGAAAAGAAACCAUGUAUUUAAAGUGAAAGUAGACAAAGUAGGUAACAGGCCUCUCUUGUAUUUCACUCAUUCAUUUGUUAAUUCCGAAGUUUCUUCUUGAAUUUUAUGAGACAAAGCAAUAUUAUGAGCUAAAGUUCAAUGUAAACCAAAGCCUGAUGUAACAUGGAAAAGAGAAAGUGGGUACCAGUGGAAUGUAUUUUAAGAAGUAUGUGCCAAGGUAACACACCUUUUAUUCUUGCCAUUAGCUCUUUCUUUUUUUUUUCUUUUUUUAUUCCCACAAUAAAAACUGUAAAAAAGAAAAAAUACAUUAUUCCUCAGCAGUAAUAAAAAUGUCCCUGUUUUCAGUCAGUCUACUGCAAUAAUUCUACUUUAAAAUAAUAUUUUCAAAUACUUUUUUGUUUCCAAUCUGAAUGCUGUUUCUGAGAUGAUACAAAUAACUACAAGUGUGUUGUGUCCACUGAUGCCAUCUACACUGUCCCCUUGAUCAUAACUAAAGGUGGGUCCCUAACUCCUGGUAGAACUGAAACCACUGAAAGACAGCAGCGUUUGAAAUCCCCCUGCCAAACAA